GAUGAACGCUGACAGAAUGCUUAACACAUGCAAGUCUUUGGCGAAGCUGUGCUUGCACAGCCUAGCCAAGGCGGACGGGUGAGUAACGCGUAAGGAACUUGCCCUGCAGUCAGGGAUAACAGACGGAAACGACUGAUAAGACCUGGUAAAGUCAGGCGGACUCAUGUCCAGCCUGAUGAAAAGAGAUGCUGCAGGAGAGCCUUGCGUCCUAUUAGCUUGUUGGUGGGGUAACGGCCCACCAAGGCGAUGAUAGGUAGCCGGCCUGAGAGGGUGGACGGCCACAGGGGGACUGAGAUACGGCCCUUACUCCUACGGGAGGCAGCAGUGGGGAAUAUUGGACAAUGGGGGCAACCCUGAUCCAGCAAUUCUGUGUGAACGAUGAAGGUUUUCGGAUUGUAAAGUGCUUUCAGCAGGGAAGAAAAAAUGACGGUACCUGCAGAAGAAGCGACGGCUAAAUACGUG
Molecule: ribosomal RNA, 462 nt
Filed under: uncultured bacterium
Lineage: Bacteria
Description: partial 16S ribosomal RNA
Rfam family: Bacterial small subunit ribosomal RNA
Source: RNAcentral